Non-coding RNA from Gymnogyps californianus (California condor), 513 nucleotides. The record is from the annotation of a RefSeq genome assembly. NCBI's taxonomy places the organism in Eukaryota, Metazoa, Chordata, Aves, Accipitriformes, Cathartidae.
AUGCGGCGGUGCCGGGGCGCAGGGCUGGCGGGGCUGGCCGCGGUGCUCCUGGUGGCUGCGGGCAGAGCCCAGGUGCAGCAGGAGCCGUCGGCAGAGACCACGGAGGGCACCGGCAUCAGCAUCAGCUGCUCACACCCCAACAUACAGACCAGCGAGUUCAUCUUCUGGUACCGUCAGCUCCCGGGCCGAGGCCCCGCAUUCCUCGUGAGCGGCACUAAAGGGUCCAAAGAGCUGCGGGACCCUGCGGGGCGGCUGUCGGUGGCGGCAGACCGCCGGUCCAGCGCCCUGUGGCUCGCCCGGCCCCGGCGCGGGGACGCGGCGGUGUAUUACUGCGUACACAACUGCAAACUGAAUCCUACAGCUCCAGCGUCCGCUUCCGGUGUGCACCUGCUGGUGUUGGAAAGUCAUCCUGUAGAGCUGGCAGUUCUACCUCAGCACCAGCACGAGAAGGAGAUACUGAUUGUCACAGACACCGUCAAGUGUGUCCCACAGUGGCUAGUGUUCGGGACAUAG